Molecule: long non-coding RNA, 649 nt
Filed under: Carica papaya (papaya)
Lineage: Eukaryota; Viridiplantae; Streptophyta; Magnoliopsida; Brassicales; Caricaceae
Description: long non-coding RNA (CPAP_LNC010052)
Source: RNAcentral
AAAAUCAAGGUAAUGGAAAUCUUCAAAGGAGUUUUUUAUUUGUGGAGAGAAAAUCAUUUGAUCUAGAACUUAUGGGAAGAAAAAUGAAAGGGUUUAAGUUGAGCCAAAAUGACAGAGGUUGCACGUCUUCAGUAAUUAUUUGCGCAAAGUAAAUAAAGUGGUUUAUUAAAAGUCUAAGGUAGUUAUAUUAGGAGAAGGGGAAAAAUUAUUGGGUGAGAAUUAUAAAAGACCCAAACAUGUGUUAUGGGUGACAACGAGUGAGAAUGAAAGUGGAAAAAACCUAGUGUUAACUAAGAAGAUGGGAGAAGAAAGAUGUAGGACUAUCUUUUCACAAGGAUUACAAGCCAAUGGGUGGAGUCUUUUGAAGAAGAUAGGAGAGCUCGUUGGCAUAUAGGUUCAAAUCAAUUCUCAUAAAACCAAAGAGGAUAGUGGUCAAGCUUAUAGGAAAGCAACAAAUAAAUAAGAAGGUAGUUGUAGUGUGUAGUGUGUCUUAUGUCUAUUCACAUCAAACUCGACUUUGACGAGACGAAAUCAUACAUGCAAGAUCUGGGUUGUUAAAGACAUAGUCAUAAAUGUGUAUAGAAGAUGAGACCCAACUCAACUGCGGGUCUACUUGAUGUAAACCAGACACAAGUAGAAGCACUUUUUU